ACUGCCAAAGAUGACAAACUGAGAAGUACACAGCCAAUAACUACUUAAAAUGUAAACUGUGUCAUUAAAAUGUAAAAGUAUAAUAGAAAUUCCAGCUAUGUGUGAGUGAAGAGUGACUGAGGUGGCCACCAAUGAAUGACUGAAGAGAGAUUGUGUGAGAGAGAGAGACUGUGUAGAUAUAUAUGUGUGACAAUAUAUGUAGACUUAAAAAUAUUCAG
This is a long non-coding RNA of Corapipo altera (White-ruffed manakin), 218 nucleotides long. RefSeq lists it as uncharacterized. The transcript has 3 exons. The record is from RefSeq and is a predicted model, not a curated record. NCBI's taxonomy places the organism in Eukaryota, Metazoa, Chordata, Aves, Passeriformes, Pipridae.